This is a long non-coding RNA of Ruditapes philippinarum (Manila clam), 7159 nucleotides long. RefSeq lists it as uncharacterized. The transcript has 9 exons. The record is from RefSeq and is a predicted model, not a curated record. NCBI's taxonomy places the organism in Eukaryota, Metazoa, Mollusca, Bivalvia, Venerida, Veneridae.
AGAUGGCGAGUUUAUACACAACCAGAAUACUGGUAAUUGGCAUCUGGUUACAUGCAACCGGAAUAAUUAGCAUCGGAGUUGUAAACGUUUGCUGACAGGUUUACUGUGGCUUGCAACAGAUCAUGUAUUAAGGCUUCUGAGUACAGUUUGCAACCUGAAGUACUAUUGAGGAAGAAGUCCAUCAUGGGGGAACAAUUUACAGCAAAUAGUUCCAAUUGCUAGCAAGCAAUGAAAGAGAAAGGAAGCUGGCUUGUUACUGAGACGAAAUGCAUCAAUUUUAAAAGACUGAACAAGUGCUGCCAGUGUAUUGGACCACCCUCAAACAGUGCCUGUAGCAUGGUAUGAUGGCGUGCUGAGAUGAUUCCACCUCCAUCUCGAUAUUUCCUCUUGUUUAUGACAAAAUGGCUGUAGAAUGUCUGCAGGCUGUGAUUCGGAGGUAUUUCCAUCAUCAGAAGGGCCUUUUGUGACAAUAAUGACCCCAAAAAUGAGCAACAUAGGGAUCAGGUAGCAAUGAAUGGGAUCUGGAGACAUUUUGGAACCAUACAAAGCCCAGAUGCAGGUCUUAGGUCACCAGUGAUGUCACAUCCUGUCUCCUGUUAACCAAUCAUAGGCAAGAUUUUCAAAGCACAGACUGGUUUCAAUUUCAGCAUAUGUUUACCAUUUCUAUAACGAGAUGGGUCGUGUGCCAAUACGGAGGAAAUCUGACUACUUCAUGGUGAUUUGUCCACUGGCAUGGUUUAGUAUCAGGAACAAUGCCAUGGCUAACAGGCGAACUCGGUUUUGCAUUCUGGUGAUUGUAUCGCUCGGAAAAUACACCCAAAUUAACAUGAAACUGAUUGAAAAAAUAUACCAGCAGAUUUGGAAGGAAAUUCAACUUUAUACCCAUAUUGUUAUGAGAUGACACAAGUAAAAGAGGAAAUUGUGAUCUUCAAUAUCCAAAGCAAAUGAAGGCCCUUAUCUAUAAUUAAUACACUGUGAUAGUUCCAAAAAAACUAUAAAGUUAAUCAAGUCUCGGAGUGGGAACGGAAAAAUCUAUAUUGAUUUGUUUACAGAUAAAACAUCAACUAAUUCAAGAACUCCAAUGCAUGGCGGGUUUCGGACAAUCUUUUUGCCUGCGAAUGAAUUCCUUCUCGGAAUAAACGCGGGGCAAUAUCUUCUAUUGUUUAUUUGUGCUUGGUUAAGCUGCGGUGGAAUAAAGAUAGCGAGUGGCAUUUGAGUCGGUCACCGUGAAAAUGAUGCGGCAUUGUUUGACUAGGACUGCAGAAGGCAAUCAUCGGAAUUAAUUUCAUAAUCUCAGAAAAGAGAAAAUGAUCUUUUCUCCAAUACAUCUCCAAAUGAUUGCUUUUUUGUCUUGAUAUCAAGUUAUUGACCAAAAUUCCUUCAUUUAUCAACAACAGAAAUCUUUCCCCCCUCUCUAUUGAGUUUCAAACUGAAUUCUGCUUCAUUAGGUGGAUUUAUUUUGUUCCAGAAAAAAAGAGUGAGCAAUAGAACCUUUAUUAAUAAGGUAUCUCCUUCAGUAUCAAAUAAUUAGAAUUUCUUUAAUUGGAAUUUAAUAGUACGACAGAAUCCUAGCAGAUUCCUAUUUGUAAGUGAUACGAGUUUCCACUUAAAAAGGAAAGAAAUUCAAUAGUUGUUUCUUGAAACAUUUUUUUUUCUGGCACGCCUCAGACAAUUCUUACUGAAAUGGUUGUUUAAUCAUUGGUAAUUUGUAGAACACAUUCCCUAAUGGCAUUGUUCUAACUAAUUCUUGAAACAAUCAAGCAGGGCCCUUUUCAUCUGUAUUCCAAGGCGACAAAUUAAUCGGAUUGCUAUUGAUAACUUAAGCAGAAAUUACCAGACACGUCACUGGGAGCUCCGAACUAAUUAGAAGAAGUGAUCUUCUAUUCUACAUCAGAAAACUCCCUCUAACUUUCCAUUGAUACUCUAAGAAUCACUUCAAAUGUACUUGUAGUCGUUCAAAUUUGAUGCCGCUUUUCUUCAAUACUUUGUUUCGCUGUUUUUUUUAUUUUAUUACAUUUCUCUUGCAGACAAUAGAGUUAUAAAAUAAAUAAAUAUAUUUAAAAGGUUCUCUUAAGAAAAUGCACUGGUAUCAUUAAAAUUAUGGGAUUUAUUGCAUCCUACUCGAAUGGAUAAGUUGGAAAUUUAGACUUAUGAUACACUAAAAAUGCAUCUCUUGAGAAAAUGGAUAAUGGAACAAACCAUACAUCAUGAAAAAAUGAUUUGUUUAAAAUUUAAAGAUAUGCAUAUGCCAUAUGCUAGAGAAGUAGAGAUGGGGUUUUUAUGCUAAUGAAGAAGACAGUUUAAGGGGGGAAAAUAAGGCUCAUUUUACAAAACAUUAAUAAGGAAAAAGGACAAUCUGUAAACUUGUUUUUUUUGUUUGUUUUUUUAAAGACAUGUCUGGACUUAUCAGAUGUAUAUAAUAUUUUGUCACAUAAAGAACAUUUCACAAAAUAUUGAUAAGGAAAAAGGACAAUGUUUAAACAUAUUUCUAAGCUUUAGACAUUUUAGUAUUUGUCAGAUAUGUUUGUAAUAAAAGGUCAUAAAGAAUGGAACUUAAUGAUGUUCAAUUCUUUUUAUUAAAGUUUAUAAAGGGUUUUGGUGCACAUGUAAUAAUAAGGCAUAAAGGAAAGAUGAAAGAUUGCCAAGGCAAAUUUCAAAAAUGUUUGUAACUGAUAAUACCAACUCUUAUAUCUUUUUGAAAAUAGUGCGUAGUUUUAAUAGUGUACAAAAAAGUCCAGCUAAUCUACCAUGUGUUAAUCUACUGCUAACUUACUAUAGAUAAACCCUCUGGGGUAUAUUUACUUUGCCUUUUUAUAAAAGGAAAUGUAAGAGUCCUGUGGACUGCGUUGAUGAAACAUAUGAAGAGUUUUGAAUUUCCCUCAUUUCUAAUUUAAUUACACAACAUACACAAUGGCCGAAUCUGAUUAUAUCUUUGAUACUUUUCUUCUGUAUCCCACAUCCUUUUCAAUGACUGGUUUCAGGUCUCUUCUAAAUGAGUUUCAAAAAUCGUUGCUAAUAUGCAAAGGUUCGCCUAAAGCAAUUGUGCGAACAAUUACGAUGGCUAAUCACGCAGGUAUAUCUUUUGGAAUAGAGAAUCGUGCAUGAUAUCGGACUAUUUAGUCAUAAUUAGAUGUUGCCUAUGAUAGAACCAUAUAUAUAGGUAAUAUGAAACCUACAUACCGUGAUUUAACAAUUGAUAAGUAUCAGCUGAAUAUUGAUGCUAGCCUCUGAUAAAAAUUUAAAUGUCCGUGCAUAUUUUUAUUUGUUAUUUAGAGGUCUUUAAAUCUGUUUGUUUAGAUUUUGGCCAUGAUUAUUCAUUCUUAAUCAAUGAAGGUUAGAUUUGAUGACUUUUAAAAUAGUCUAUGCCUAAUACUUUGUCGAGGAAGGAAUUAUAAAAAUUCCUGGAGAUGAAGAACUCUUUGAUUAUUUUGAUCAUUUUUUGCAUAAAGCGUGCACAAUCCUGGGUAUAUCUAGAUUUUCAUAUCCCGUCUAAACACCAGUAAUUACUAGGGACUAGCCCAGGUAAUAGAAGAUCUUUUUGGAAAGAACACUUCAAAUGGUUGAAUAAUUUUUAUAAUGUAAGAUCAUUAGUUUUAGGUUUCAUGUAAUUUUCUGAUUUUAUCACCAUAUAUCCAUAAUAUCUAACCAAGCAAUUACCAACUUUCAUGAAUGGAAAUUCAAAAGAACUCCGCAAAAUUAUUCUGCUGUAUAUAUUUUGUACAUGGUGCGAUUAACCAGUCCGACAUAAAAAAAAAAUCCAUAUAUUUUUUGUUCUCCUUUUCAAAAAAUGUAUUUAUUAUUUGCCAAUUUAUUUUUUUGUCCUAAAUGUAAAGUCUGCAUGAUCAUUUUAAGAGAAAACAGAAUUUAAAAGUAAAAGUGUCUUCUGGAUGGGUAGUUUAUAAAUACUGAUCAUCAGAUUAAAUUUGAUAAUUAUUAUGCCUCCAAAACUUUAAGAUUUCAUGAUAAAAAGUUGUAUUUUAAGAAGAUAAUAAAAUGAUUUUGAUAUAUUUUUUUUCUAAUUAUUAUUACAAAAUGAGAAAAGUAAUUAUAUUUGAAAUAGAAAACUAUCUAUUAAUGUACUGCAUAUCAAUGAAUAAAUGCACUUCAGAGCACUUAAGAUAUUACAAGACCUUAACAAUGUUUUUUACAUUAUCAUGCACAAUCAAAUUUGCAAAAAAUACUUUAAAUUUAAUUAAGUAUAGAAGGAAAAUGAUUUAUGUCAUAAAUAAAUUAUAGUAUAUUUUAAAGGUCAAUUCUUAUGACCUGAGUUUUAUAACAAAGGGAAUCUAGUAAGAGCAAAACAUUAAAAGUAAAAUGUUUUCCAUUGUACAGGUUUGUAAAAAGUGGUUUAUGUAGAAUUAAAAUUCAAUAAAAAACAAAAUAUUUACUAGAAAUAUUGCAUGUUUAAUUCAAUUACUGCUCAUGUAAAAAGAGGUAAUUACAAACAAUUAACAUUUUGGCAUUAUUUUGAAACUUUAUCAGUGCAAGUUUGCAAAAAAGAAACCUUUAAUCUAACCAGUGUCAAUUUAUGACCAAAAUUAGAGAUUUUAUUUUUUGAGCUUUGCUCCGCCUCAAUUUUGGGUUGAGAUCCUCUAGCUCUGCCCACUUCUGCAUCUAUACUCUCCUCCUCCACUUUGCAAGUGGAGACAAUUCAUUAGAAUAUAGACCCAUAAGUGUGAAACAAGUCCUGACAAUGCCCAAUUCAUUUAAAAGUCUCAUUAUUUUAAUAGCAAGUAAUAUCAAGUCAAAAAAAAAUUCACCAAUAAAAAGAAUUGGAAAAUUAAAAGGAUGAAUUCCUUGUUCAAUAAUAACUCAUAUUCAAAAUAUGAUUAAUUAGUGAGGUCAAAUUGAAAACAAUAAAAUGAUUGGAUGUUUAUCAGCUGUCAGUUGUUUAUACAUAGUUAAAAACCAACUUGUCAUCGUUGGAUGUACACAUUCCCUUCAUCUUUUUGCCAAGAAUAUUUUCUGAAAUUUUAAGCUUAAAACUAAAAAAAAAUGAGAGAGAAAGGAGAGAAUUAAUCUGCAUCAGAUUAAAAGUGUGUGCAGACUGCAAAAUUCCACACAUUUUAGUAAUUAUUUCCAGAAAUAACAGUAGGGAAACCUGUAUCAUUUACCAGGGAGGAUAGUUUAUUACAAAUAAAAGGUGUUCAGUCUAAUGACCUGACAGAGUAACUGCCUUUUUCUCCCCUUGAUUUAUUCAUCCUUUCUACAAAGUUUUAUACCUUUGUAGGGUUUCUUAUAUCUUCAAUGCUCUGUAAUUAAUUAUUUUUAAAAGGAUUCCCAUGUGAGCAUUAAUCACUGAUUUAUUUAUAUAUUCAUUUAUAAUGAUAUGUAGCAAGAGUUAUGUGUCUUUGUUGCAAUGACUAAUUAUAAAUACAAGAUUUUUUUGUAGGAAUAUAAUUAUAUUGUUAGGUAAUACAUAUCCAAAUAACACAUAUAAUUAUAUUCUGUGCAUUUCUGAAUUGGUAUCUUAUGGCUGCCUUUUACACAUUUUUUCUCUUUUAGCAAAUUAAUUUGACAAGUGACUGUCCCUGCACAUAUUAUGAUAAGUUACUUCCCUUGUCUUAUAGGUAUUUGUAAAAAAGCCCAUGUCCAUGACUUACAGGUAUUUCACAUAAUCUUAUGUGUAAAAAGCAUAUACAUGAUAAGUUACUUCCCUUGCUUUAUAGGUAUUUAGCACAAAAGGUCAAAUAAACUUAGACAGGUGAUUGUCUGUCAAGUAUUCAUGGUAUUGUUUCCUUUUGUUUAGCAAAUGGAGUUGCAAUGUCACAAUACUGUAACUAGAGAAACAAGUUACUUGUUGCACAUUUAAUAUAUGCAGAUUAAGUUGCAUAAUUUUUUUUGCAAAGGUAGUUGCGUUUAAUGUGGCAAUGUGGACGUGUAGGGCUGUAUCGCACACAGUGUUUGUCAUGCUGCAUAAAGCGUUACUAAUUUAAGUCAUGAUAGAACUAUUGAUAAUGUCGGUUUGACAAAGACAAAACUUUAUCAAUGAUCAGCUAAUGUUGUGUGCAGAAAAAAUGCAUUACACAGUAUUAUAUGACAGAUUACCUCGUAUGAUUAUACGCAUAACAAAAUAUUUUUUUUUUUUAAAUAUUGAGACCUCAUAUUAUGAAUUUAUCAAUAAUUUCUUUAGAUAUUUUGUUAAAUUUUUUCUCAGUAUGAUACUGAAAUGCUCUUUCUCUCUCUUUUCUUAAAAAAACCAACAGGCAGUCUGUUGCUAAGCACAUAUCAAGAAAACUGUUAAGAUUUCAAAGGAGAUUAAAGUACAAUAGGAUUAGGAAAAAUGCUAAAAAUGCCAGGAACUAAAAAAAAAACAGAACAGUUGCUCCAAAUAUAUGACAUAAUCCAAACUGAUUUAAAUUACAUUUGUCCCCCAUGAUAUAUGGUGAAGGUUUUUCUGAUAAAGGCUUUCAAUUGUGCUCAGAGAUAGUAAAAGCAGAUUGUCCCGCAAUGGCACAGAGAUAAAGCCUCUGAUGACAUUGCUUGACAACCAACAUGGCCACUUAGAAACAGGAAGUACUGCUCUUCAAUGUGGAGAUUUGUUGAGUUGAAUCUUCAAAUAAAGAUGCAUAUGGUUCAAAUUCAGGUAGAAAUCUGUAGGCCCUCAAGUAUUGUGCACUUCAAGAUUGAUAAUGAAUCUAAGGCAGCUCUCCUGGUCUCCAUUUAAUUGCUUUCAAGAAACAUAAAUUACUUGCAAUUAUAGUAAAGUCUCCUUUUGCAUCAGAAGUCUGUCUAAUAACACUAGGCAGACUGUAACUUAAAUAAUUAUUGAAGUUUGUCUUUGUGUAAUCUAGACAUGUACUUCCUUUAUUGUUUGAUGAAGAAUUGCUUCUGGAUGGUUUAUUGAGAAUCCAAAAUGUUUAUCAGUCUAAGUAUUAUUUGUAAUGUGGGAAAUUGUGAAAAAUUGGGGACACCAAAUUAUUAUUUCUUAUACCCAUCCUAUCAUUCUCCUACAGUUUGACUGUACCAUAAAUCUAAGAUACUGUCAAACCUGUUGACAAGUAGCACUUAUAUGACUUGUUUAACAGAACAACAAUGAUAUAUUUUUAAAGGUAAACUUUAAGAUUUUUUUUCAGAGUAUAUUGAAAUUUCCAUAAUAUGAAAAGUUCUUUUAAUUUAUUUGGAAAAUUGUCUUUGGACAGGUUUGACUGUAUAUAUU